AGAUUUUUUCUGGAAAUACUGCUAAUCUGGGGAACUUCAAGUUAAGAUUCUAUAGCUACAAAUAUUUCACAAUUUAGACACAAGAUUUGGAAGAUUGAAACUGACAUGAAAGUCUUCUUCCUGAGGACUAGCACUCAUAAUGCAGUGUGUGUAUGAAGGUCAUGUCAGAGAAGGUGAAACAUGAAAGAAGCAACAUACUCUUCAACAUGAUGAAUAAUACUCACUACAAAGACAUGAGGUCAGAGGAGACUGCCAGAGUCAGUGGGAAGUCUUCAUUCUCUUCUCAGAUGCUCAUGAGACCUCAGCUGACCCUGAUCCAAGUGUGAAGAACCUUACAGCAGGUUGCAUCAUUUCUGACACGCCCACCUCUGUGAUCACCAGCAGCUAGCCAUCAAGGAGAGCAAAUCAGACAUUGCCCUUUCAGGAGGAAAGCAGUGCCAUUCAAUCAAACCUGAAGAAAAACAGUUUUACAAUUUAGAAAUAAGUGCUUUGGGUAUGCCUUCACUUACUUACAUUUUUUCCUUGUUCUCUAUGUAUCAAUUUUUCACAUGUUUGUUUUUGCUUUAAUUAAAAGAAUAAUUACAUCAUUUUCACCCUCUCCACUCACUCCAAUAAAUACCUCUAAUAUCA
Molecule: long non-coding RNA, 630 nt
Organism: Mus musculus (house mouse)
Lineage: Eukaryota; Metazoa; Chordata; Mammalia; Rodentia; Muridae
Product: predicted gene, 40308
Exons: 3
Source: RefSeq, a predicted model, not a curated record